UACGAAGGGGGCUAGCGUUGUUCGGAAUCACUGGGCGUAAAGCGCACGUAGGCGGAUUGUUAAGUCGGGGGUGAAAUCCUGGAGCUCAACUCCAGAACUGCCUUCGAUACUGGCGAUCUCGAGUCCGGGAGAGGUGAGUGGAACUGCGAGUGUAGAGGUGAAAUUCGUAGAUAUUCGCAAGAACACCAGUGGCGAAGGCGGCUCACUGGCCCGGUACUGACGCUGAGGUGCGAAAGCGUGGGGAGCAAACAGG
RNAcentral lists this ribosomal RNA (253 nucleotides) under uncultured bacterium. RNAcentral describes it as "partial 16S ribosomal RNA". It matches the Rfam family "Bacterial small subunit ribosomal RNA", at positions 524 to 776 of the family's 1533-position model. The record is from RNAcentral.